This 508-nucleotide ribosomal RNA is filed under the name uncultured bacterium. Its description in RNAcentral is "bacterial SSU rRNA". It matches the Rfam family "Bacterial small subunit ribosomal RNA", at positions 32 to 515 of the family's 1533-position model. The record is from RNAcentral.
UAUCAACGCUGGCGGCGUGCCUCAGACAUGCAAGUCGAACGCGAAAGUCCCCUUCGGGGGACAAGUAGAGUGGCGCACGGGUGAGUAACACGUAGGUAAUCUACCUUCGGGUGGGGAAUAACGCAGGGAAACUUGCGCUAAUACCGCAUAAUGCAGCGGCACCACAUGGUGACAGUUGUUAAAGCGGGGGAUUUUCGGACCUCGUGCCUGAAGAGGAGCCUGCGGCAGAUUAGCUAGUUGGUAAGGUAACGGCUUACCAAGGCGACGAUCUGUAGCCGGCCUGAGAGGGCGGUCGGCCACACUGACACUGACAUACGGGUCAGACUCCUACGGGAGGCAGCAGUCGGGAAUUUUGGGCAAUGGGCGAAAGCCUGACCCAGCAACGCCGCGUGAAGGAUGAAAUCCCUCGGGAUGUAAACUUCGCAAGAAUAGGAAGAAUGAACGAGCGCUAACACCGUUCGUGAUGACGGUACUAUUUGUAAGCUCCGGCUAACUCCGUGCCAGCACG